UGCUUAAUACAUGCAAGUCGAGCGGGGUUACUGCGACAGAUCCCUUCGGGGUGACGUUGCUUUAACCUAGCGGCGGACGGGUGAGUAACGCGUGGGUAACCUACCCUAAAGCUCGGGAUAACAGUGGGAAACCGCUGCUAAUACCGGAUGACUUUAACCUAUGGCAUCAUGGGUUAAAGAAAGAUUUAUCGCUUUAGGAUGGGCCCGCGUCCCAUUAGCUAGUUGGUGAGGUAACGGCUCACCAAGGCGACGAUGGGUAGCCGGCCUGAGAGGGUGUACGGCCACACUGGGACUGAGACACGGCCCAGACUCCUACGGGAGGCAGCAGUAGGGAAUAUUGCGCAAUGGACGGAAGUCUGACGCAGCGACGCCGCGUGAGCGAUGAAGGCCUUCGGGUCGUAAAGCUCUGUCCUUGGGGAAGAAGGUCUUCGGACUUGACGGUACCCAAGAAGAAAGCCCCGGCUAACUACGUGCCAGCAGCCGCGGUAAUACGUAGGGGGCGAGCGUUGUCCGGAAUUACUGGGCGUAAAGGGUGCGUAGGCGGCCCUUUAAGUCAGAUGUGAAAGGCCACGGCUUAACCG
Molecule: ribosomal RNA, 581 nt
Filed under: uncultured bacterium
Lineage: Bacteria
Description: bacterial SSU rRNA
Rfam family: Bacterial small subunit ribosomal RNA
Source: RNAcentral